UAAUGCUGGAGAACGACAGCCAGAGGUGAUGCAAAACUUUGCAAACAUGGUAGCUCAGGCUAUGCAUCAGGGAAUACCAGCUGCAGGGAACCAGCCAGACAAUCGCUUGGCAAAUUUCAAAGACUUUAAAGCCGUAGGACCACCAGAAUUCAGAGGAUCAGCUGACCCUAUAGAAGCCCAAACAUGGGUUAACGAGAUAGAAAAGGCGUUCGUAAUUGAUAGAAUAGAUGAGGGGCAAAAGACUGCUUUUGCCACUUAUAUGUUGAAAAGGGGAGGCUAACUUUUGGUGGGAGGUAAAUAAAACUCGGG
This 309-nucleotide long non-coding RNA is filed under the name Panax ginseng (ginseng). Its description in RNAcentral is "long non-coding RNA (PGIN_LNC018468)". The record is from RNAcentral. Lineage: Eukaryota; Viridiplantae; Streptophyta; Magnoliopsida; Apiales; Araliaceae.